AUCUUAAGCGAUGAGCAAACUUUUAACUAAAAAAACAAAAAUUCCAUCAUAAAAGAAAAUUAAUUGAAAAGUUAAACUUUUAAUAUUUUCUUGGAGAGAAAUUAGAAUUUUUUAUAAAAAAAUUAAGAUUAAUUUCGUAAAUAUAAUAAAUUAUCUUAACAUCUCUCUUCCCCUUCCCUAAAAAAACUCUUAUUUAAAAGAAAAAAAAAUACUCUAGGAAGGAUUUUACUCCCUUCUCUUUUCUCCCUUUUCAUCCCCUCCUAAAAU
Molecule: long non-coding RNA, 267 nt
Filed under: Lathyrus oleraceus (garden pea)
Lineage: Eukaryota; Viridiplantae; Streptophyta; Magnoliopsida; Fabales; Fabaceae
Description: Pisum sativum (pea) long non-coding RNA (PSAT_LNC011507)
Source: RNAcentral